CAUGUCCUUUUGAUAAUAAAAUUUAAGGUCUAACCUGCCCAAUGAUAAAAUAUUUAAUGGCCGCGGUACUUUGACCGUGCAAAGGUAGCAUAAUCAUUAGUUUUUUAAUUGAAAGCUGGAAUGAAGGGUUGAAUGAGAAAAUUACUGUCUUUAUUAUAUUUAAUUAAAAUUUUAUUUUUAAGUUAAAAAGCUUAAAUUUUAUUUAUAGACGAGAAGACCCUUUAGAGUUUUAUAAAUACUUAUUUAAAAUUUUUUAGGAUUAAUUUAAUUUUUAAAUUAGUUAUUUAUUUGAUUGGGGUGAUUGAAAAAUUUAAAUAACUUUUUUUUUUAUUUUACAUUUAUAUAUGAAUAAUUGAUCCAUUAAUUAUGAUUAUAAGAUUAAAUUACCUAAGGGAUAACAGCGUUAUUUUUUUUGAGAGUUCUAAUCGAAAAAAAAGUUUGCGACCUCGAUGUUGGAUUAAAAUUAAAUUAUGGUGUAGAGGCUAUAACUUUA
RNAcentral lists this ribosomal RNA (493 nucleotides) under Thymogethes nigritus. Its description in RNAcentral is "partial 16S ribosomal RNA". Lineage: Eukaryota; Metazoa; Arthropoda; Insecta; Coleoptera; Nitidulidae. The record is from RNAcentral.